GUAGGGGGCUAGCGUUGUCCGGAAUCAUUGGGCGUAAAGCGCGCGUAGGCGGCCCGGUAAGUCCGCUGUAAAAGUCAAAGGCUCAACCUUUGAAUGCCGGUGGAUACUGUCGGGCUAGAGUCCGGAAGAGGCGAGUGGAAUUCCUGGUGUAGCGGUGGAAUGCGCAGAUAUCAGGAGGAACACCAACGGCGAAGGCAGCUCGCUAGGACGGUACUGACGCUGAGGCGCGAAAGCGUGGGGAGCGAACAGGGAUUAGAUACCCUGGUAGUCCACGCCGUAAACGAUGGGCACUAGGUGUGGGAGGUGUCGACUCCUCCCCCCCGUGCCGGCGCUAACGCAUUAAGUGCCCCCGCCUGGGGAGUACGGCCGCAAGGCUA
Molecule: ribosomal RNA, 377 nt
Filed under: uncultured organism
Description: partial 16S ribosomal RNA
Rfam family: Bacterial small subunit ribosomal RNA
Source: RNAcentral